GCACCAGUGGGGAAUAUUGUCUGCAAUGGGCGCAAGCCUGAUGCAGCGACGCCGCGUGAGGGAUGACGGCCUUCGGGUUGUAAACCUCUUUCAGUAGGGAAGAAGCGAAAGUGACGGUACCUGCAGAAGAAGCGCCGGCUAACUACGUGCCAGCAGCCGCGGUAAUACGUAGGGCGCAAGCGUUAUCCGGAAUUAUUGGGCGUAAAGAGCUCGUAGGCGGUUUGUCGCGUCUGCCGUGAAAGUCCGGGGCUCAACUCCGGAUCUGCGGUGGGUACGGGCAGACUAGAGUGAUGUAGGGGAGACUGGAAUUCCUGGUGUAGCGGUGAAAUGCGCAGAUAUCAGGAGGAACACCGAUGGCGAAGGCAGGUCUCUGGGCAUUAACUGACGCUGAGGAGCGAAAGCAUGGGGAGCGAACAGGAUUAGAUACCCUGGUAGUCCAUGCCGUAAACGUUGGGCACUAGGUGUGGGGGACAUUCCACGUUUUCCGCGCCGUAGCUAACGCAUUAAGUGCCCCGCCUGGGGAGUACGGCCGCAAGGCUAAAACUCAAAGGAAUUGACGGGGGCCCGCACAAGCGGCGGAGCAUGCGGAUUAAUUCGAUGCAACGCGAAGAACCUUACCAAGGCUUGACAUGGACCGGACCGGGCUGGAAACAGUCCUUCCCCUUUGGGGCUGGUUCACAGGUGGUGCAUGGUUGUCGUCAGCUCGUGUCGUGAGAUGUUGGGUUAAGUCCCGCAACGAGCGCAACCCUCGUUCUAUGUUGCCAGCACGUGAUGGUGGGGACUCAUAGGAGACUGCCGGGGUCAACUCGGAGGAAGGUGGGGACGACGUCAAAUCAUCAUGCCCCUUAUGUCUUGGGCUUCACGCAUGCUACAAUGGCCGGUACAAAGGGUUGCGAUACUGUGAGGUGGAGCUAAUCCCAAAAAGCCGGUCUCAGUUCGGAUUGGGGUCUGCAACUCGACCCCAUGAAGUCGGAGUCGCUAGUAAUCGCAGAUCAGCAACGCUGCGGUGAAUACGUUCCCGGGCCUUGUACACACCGCCCGUCAAGUCACGAAAGUUGGUAACACCCGAAGCCGGUGGCCUAACCCC
This 1087-nucleotide ribosomal RNA is filed under the name Arthrobacter oryzae. RNAcentral's name for it is "bacterial SSU rRNA". It matches the Rfam family "Bacterial small subunit ribosomal RNA", at positions 348 to 1442 of the family's 1533-position model. Lineage: Bacteria; Bacillati; Actinomycetota; Actinomycetes; Micrococcales; Micrococcaceae. The record is from RNAcentral.